Rattus norvegicus (Norway rat) is the source of this 4173-nucleotide long non-coding RNA. RefSeq lists it as uncharacterized. Lineage: Eukaryota; Metazoa; Chordata; Mammalia; Rodentia; Muridae. The record is from RefSeq and is a predicted model, not a curated record.
UCCUGAGACGCAGACACUCGCCACUAGGACGCCUGCGCGCUACGGCCACGCCCCUGCGCCGCGGCCACGCCCCGCGCCUCCACUCCGUGCGCGUGCGCACUUUGAAGGUGGAGCACCUGGGCUGUCUUCUUCGCAGAGCAGGAAGAGCUGGAUCAGAGGUUAAGAACAUAGCUUUUCGGGGCUGAAGAGGUGGCUCAGCGGUUAAGAGCACUGGCUACUCUUCCAGAGGACCUGAGUUCAAUUCCCAGCAACCACAUGGUGCCUCACAUCCAUCUGUAAUGCGAUUUGAUGCCCUCUUCUGGUGUGUCUGAAGACAGUGACAGUGUACUCAUAAAUAAACAUAUAAGUAAACAUAUUUAAAAAAAAACAACAUAGCUUUUCUAGAUGACUCCGGUUCAAUUCUCAGUACCCACAGCACUCAGCCUCACAACCAUCUGUAAUUCAAGUCUCAGGGGAUUCGACUCCUUCUGGCCUCCAGUUACCGGGCACACAAGUGCAUGGACAUACCAUUACAUAUAUUUUUUAAAGAUUUAUUUAUGGGGUUGGGGAUUUAGCUCAGUGGUAGAGCUCUUGCCUAACAAGCACAAGGCCCUGGGUUCGGUCCCCAGCUCUGGAAAAAAAAAAAAAAGAAAGAAAUUUAAAGAUUUAUUUAUUUUAUUUAUAUGUUAGUACACUGUAGUUCUCUUCAGACACUUCAGAAGAGAGCAUCCCAUUACAGAUGGUGGUGAGCCACCAUGUGGUUGCUGGAAAUUGAACUCAGGACCUCUGGAAGAGCAGUCAGUGCUCUUAACCACUGAGCUAUCUCUCCAGCCCCACUACAUAUAUUUUAAAAGCUAGGAUUAAAGGCAUACACCACCGCCUCCAGCCUUGAUAAUUUCUUUUUAACCUCUCCACAAAAUACUUAAUAGUGCAAGAAGGAAAUAGUAACUUUAGAGGUAGGAAAUAUCAAUCACCAGAAAUUAGCAAGUUCUUUUUUAAAAAAUAUCUUAUUAUUUAUUUAUUUGCGUGUGUGUGUGUGUGUGUGUGUGUGUGUGUGUGUGUGUGUGUACAUUAAUACUUGCUAUGGUGUUCUUUUGUAACAGCUGUCAGAAGUUGUUCCUAGUCUUCCUUCAUGUGAGUGCUAGGGCUGGGACUCAGGUCAUCAGGCCAGGCUCAGUAGCAAGUGUCUUUUUUGCCUCCUGAGAGCGCCCUCUUGCUGACCUUAGCAGUACUUCUCACUAUGAUGCAAUGAAAGGGGCACGAAUUCACUAAUACAUGUCCUUGGCAAAUUACAUGACUUCAGGUUAUUCAGGUUAUUCUUUUUUUUUUUUAAAGAUUUAUUUUAUUUAUAUGAGUACACUGUAGCUGUCUUCAGACACACCAGAAGAGGGCAUCAGAACCCAUUACAGAUGGUUGUGAGCCACCAUGUGGUUGCUGGGAAUUGAACUCAGGACCUGUGGAAGAGCAGUCAGCGCUCCUAACCACUGAGCCAUCUCUCCAGCCCCAGGUUAUUCUUUUAACUAAUUUUUUCCAUCUUUAUUAACUUGAAUAUUUCUUAUUUACAUUUCAAUUGUUAUUCCCUUUCCCGGUUUCUGGGCCAACAUCCCCCUAACCCCUUCCCCUCCCCUUCUCUAUCGGUGUUCCCCUCCCCAUCCUCCCCCCAUUACCGCCCUCCCCCCAACAAUCACGUUCACUGGGGGUUCUGUCUUGGCAGGACCAAGGGCUUUCCUUCCACUGAUGCUCUUUUUUUUUUUUUCCCCGGAGCUGGGGAACCGAACCCAGGGCCUGCUAGGCAAGUGCUCUACCACUGAGCUAAAUCCCCAACCCCUCCACUGGUGCUCUUACUAGGCUAUUCAUUGCUACCUAUGAGGUUGGAGCCCAGGGUCAGUCCAUAUAUAGUCUUUGGGUAGUGGCUUGUCUCUGGAAGCUCUGGUUGGUUGGCAUUGUUGUUCAUAUGGGGUUAACUAAUUUUUUUUUUAAAUAAUUAUUUAUGGGGUUGGGGAUUUAGCUCAGUGGUAGAGCACUUGCCUAGCAAGCGCAAGGCCCUGGGUUCGGUCCCCAGCUCCGAAAAAAAGAAAAAAAAUAAUUAUUUAUUUUAUGCAUAUGAGUACACUCGCUGUCUUCAGACACACCAGGGGAAGGCAUUGGAUCCCAUUACAGAUGGUUGUGAGCCACCAUGUGGGUGCUGGGAAUUGAGCUCAGGACCUCUGGAAGAGCAGUCAGUGCUCUUAACCGCUGAGCCACCUCUCCAGCCCUUUAGUUAUUUUUUUUUUAAAGAUUUAUUUUAUUUAUUAUAUAUAUAAGUACACUGUAGCUGUCUUCAGAUACACCAGAAGGGGGCAUCAAAUCUCUUUACAGAUGGUUGUGAGCCACCAUGUGGUUGCUGGGAAUUGAACUCAUGACCUCUGGAAGAGCAGUCGGGUGCUCUUAACCACUGAGCCAUCUCUCCAGCCCCCUUUAGUUAUUUUUUAAAGAUACAUUUUUUUUUUUUUUUGGUUUUAUUGUAUAUGUGUGUGUGCAUGUGUGGCUGUGUGCCUGAGUAUCUGAGUAUAUGUAUCUGUACCAUGUGUGUGCAAGCACACUUGGAGACCAGAAGGGGGCAGUAGAUCCCCUGGGACUGGAGUUGCUGAUUGUUGAGGUACCAUGUAGGUGCUGGAGAUCAAACCCUGGUCCUUUGUAAAAAUAGCCAUAGCUGUUAGCCACUGUAACCUCCUGCAGCCCCUACUAUUCUUUUCCUUUUAUCAAAAACUUUGGAGGUAGGUAUAGUGGCACACACCUUUAAUCCCCCGCACUUGAGAGGCAGAGGCAGCUAUCUGGAGACAAGGGACUGCGGUGCAUAUUUUACAUAUCAAAACAGACCUGGCCUCCAAGUCCUCCCAGCAUCCCUCAGUUCCAACUUGGGCACCUGAUCCUGAACUUUCCAGCCCAGGGGCUGGGCUUCUCUUCCCCCUAUAUAAUCCACAUCUCUCCAUAUAAUCCACCUCCCUCUCCCUCCCUCUCUCUCCCUCUCCCCCUCCCCUCUCCCCCUCUCCCUCCUUCUCCUCCUCCUCCUCCUCUUCCUCUUUCUUUUCCUUUUCUGCUCUCCAUGUGUUUCCCAUUCCUCUCUUCCUCUCUCCCUCCCCACCCCGCCCCCUUUCCCCAUGGCAACUCCCCUGGCCUCAAUCCUUGGGAGCAGAGAAUUUACCUGCCUGAGAGCAGCUCCCUAAAAAAACUGCCCAUAAUCUAAUCUGGCUUGAAUUGGCUCAUUUCACCAGCAGCAGAGGAGUAACCUAUCAGCAGGUAAGUAGAUCUUUAUGAGUUUGAAGCCAGCCAGCCUGAUCUACAUGGUUAGUUUCAGGGCAGCCAGAUCUACAUAAUGAACGUCUGUCUUAAUAAAAGAAUAUGGAAGGAAGGAAGGAAGGAAGGAAGGAAGGAAACCAACCUUUGGGUUUCUAGUCCAGUGAGCUGGCUCAGAAUAAAGGUGCUUUCUGGGCAAGCCUGGUGACCUGGGUUUAAUCCCCACACUCUAAAGGUGAAAGGAGAAAAGCAACUCAUCCUGAUACCUCAAAGGUGGCUGAAGCACUCCCACCCACCCACAUCCAUUGCUGCUACGACUAUUUCAAUAAUAAUAAUAAUAAAUAAUAAUAAAUUUAAAAGCAAAGAAAACAUUUUACUGUUUUCCUCUUGUACCUUUUUGUUCAAUAACCAAAUUAAGUAUUCCUUUUUGUUAUUUUGGUUUUUUUUUUUUUUUUCCUUCUCUGUAACCUUGGCUGUCCUGGAGCUCACUCUGUUUGAGGCUGUCCUCAAACCCAGAUAUCUGCUUACCUCUUGCCUUCCAAGUGCUGAGAUUAAAGGCAUGUGCCACCACUGUUUAGCAUCCCGUUAUAUUUGCAAUGUGUAAUAGUAUUCUCUUAUAUUUCUGCUGCCUUCUGGGUAUGGGGAUAUUUGGGUCUCAAACUUGGAUUAUACUAAGAUUGUCUGGAGAAUUCGAGUAAUUAAAGAGGUCUGCAAACCACCUUCCAGAAAAAAAAAAAAGUUUAAUCAGCCCAGAGGACAGCCUGGGCUUUCAGUGUUUUAAAAGCAUUUGCACCGCAUUUAUAAUUAGAGAAGCGUUGCCAAAGUCAGAAUCUCUGAAGUGACAGAAAGAAGAUUGAACCAAAUACGCAAGAACAUAGGCAGAGGUUUCCUGGAAUUUCAGCUCAGGAGCAGAAAGAA